This 3092-nucleotide ribosomal RNA is filed under the name Burkholderia mallei 2002721280. RNAcentral's name for it is "23S ribosomal RNA". Lineage: Bacteria; Pseudomonadati; Pseudomonadota; Betaproteobacteria; Burkholderiales; Burkholderiaceae. The record is from RNAcentral.
CGCCGACCGGCUGAUCGGUCGCGCCCGUCGCGCGGUAGAACGCCGCGUUCAGCGCCGCGUGCAGCAGCAUCGGCAGCGUCGCGUGCGCGUCGAGCGCCAUCGCGCGCGCGCGGCGCACGAGCGCGGCGUCGAAUUCGAACGCGAGACGGCCCGCGUCCCAGCGCGGCGCGCACGCGCGGCCCGCGCGCGGCGGCGGCAGCGCGUGCGACGGCGCGCCGGCGAGCGCCUCGCGCCAGAACGCGAGCCGCGCGUGCGGCGCGGCGGCCGGCAGCACCGGUGCGUCCGGCGCGGGCUGAGGCGCGUCGGCGGGCGCUUGUAUCGGCGCAAUCGUCGCCGAUUGCGCGGGCGCUUCCUUCGCGCGUGCCGGCGCAAGCGACGCCGCCCGCGAGCCCGCGUGCCUGUCGGUUCGCCUGUCCGCCGCUGCGCGCGCCGCCGCCGUCGCGGGUUCGUCCGCGCGCCGCGCGACGUACGCCGCGCGCACCGCGUCGAGCCACAGAUCGAUCGAUUGCCCGUCCGACACGAUGUGAUGGACGACGAGCGACAGCACGUGGUCGUGCGCGCCGAGCCGGAUCACGCGCGCGCGCCAGAGCGGCGCGUCGGCGGCGAGAUCGAACGGCGCGAGCGCGUCGGCGUCGGUCAGCGCGAUCGCGGCGGCGAGCCGCGCGUCGUCGUCCGCGAUGCGCGCGUCGGCGCGCAGGUCGACGACCGGCAGCUCGAUGCGCCGCGCCGGCGCAAUCCGCUGCCCCGGCGCGCCGUCCGCCCGCGCGACGAUCCGCGUGCGCAGCGCCGGGUGGCGGACAGCCGCAUGCGCGAGCGCAUCGGCGAGCGCAUCGACGUCGAGCGCGCCGCGCAGCCGCAGCGCGACGGGAAUGUUGUACGCGGCGCUGUCCGGCUGCGCGCGCCACAGGAACCACAGGCCGCGCUGCGCGGCCGACAGCGGCAGCACGCCGUCGGCAUCGGGCGCGUACGAUGCGCUGCCCGCGCGUUGCGGCGCGUGCGCUGGCGCGGCGGCGGCGACGCGCUGCGCGUACGGCGCGAGAAUCGGCGCCUCGAACAGCGCGCGCACCGGCACGUCGCGCGCGAGCCGCUCGGCGACGCGCGUGGCCACCCGCACCGCCGCGAGCGAAUGGCCGCCCAGCUCGAAGAAAUGAUCGGCGCGCCCGACGCGCUCGACGCCGAGCACCUCGCGCCAGAUCUCGGCGAGCGCCGUCUCGAGCUCGCCGUCGGGCGCCUCGUACGCGCGCGCGACGUGCGCGGGCUCGGGCAGCGCCGCGCGGUCGACCUUGCUGUUCGCGUUGCGCGGCAGCGCGUCGAGCACGACGAUGUGCGCGGGCACCAUGUAAUCGGGCAGCGUGCGGCGCAAAUGCGCGUCGAGCUCGGCCGCAUCCGCGCGCCGCGCGCGCGCGCGCGCGUCGCCCGUGAGCUCGACGAACGCGGCGAGCCGCGCGUGCGCGCCCUCGCCGAACACGACCGCCACCGCCUCGCGCACGUCGUCGUGCGCGGCGAGUUGCGCCUCGAUCUCGCCCAGCUCGAUGCGCAAGCCGCGCAGCUUCACCUGGUGAUCGAUGCGGCCGAUGAAGUCGAACACGCCGUCGGCGCGGCGGCGCACGAGGUCGCCCGUGCGGUACAGCCGCGCGCCCGGCGCGCCGUACGGAUCGGGCACGAAGCGCUCGGCGGUGAGCGCCGCGCGGCCCAGGUAGCCGCGUGCGAGCCCGACGCCCUCGCCGCCCAGAUACAACUCGCCGAUCACGCCGACGGGCAGCGGAUUCAGGCGCGCGUCCAGCACGUGCGCGGUGCGCGCGCCGACGAGCGUGCCGAUCGGCAGAUACGCGGCGUCCGCGAGCUUGGCGGGAUCGUCGCCCGGCGCGAACAUCCACAGCAUCGGCGUGAUCACCGUUUCGGUCGGCCCAUAGCCGUUGACGACGCGCGCGUUCGGAAACGCGCGGCGCAUCAGCGCGAACGCCUCGCGCGACGUCGCCUCGCCGCCCACCGUGAUCGAGCGCAGCGACGGCGGCGCACCGUGCUCGAGCGCCCAUUCGGCGAGCUGCGUCGCGCAGCCGGGCGGCACGUAGGUCAUCGUCACGCCUUCGCGCGCGGCGAGCGCGCAGGUGCGCGCGGGCGGCCACAGCGUGUCGGCCGUCACCGCGACGGCCGCGCCCGACAUGUACUGCGAGAACCAGCCUUCGUGCGCGCCGUCGAAAUUGACCGACUGGAACAGCAUGAACACGUCGCGCUCGGUCGCGCCGUAGCGCGCGGCGAUCGCCUCGCAAUGGCGCGCGAACGCGCCGUGAUCGACGACGACGCCCUUCGGCUUGCCGGUCGAGCCCGACGUGUAGAUCACGUACGCGGCCUGAUGCGGCGACACGGCGGGCAGCGCGACGCCGUCGAUCUCCGCGUCGGCGAUCGCGUCGUCGACAAGCCACGCGCGCGUCGCGCCCGCGAGCGGCAGCGCGUCGACGCUGCCGCGCUCGGUGAUCACGUGCGCGAUCUGCGCGUCCUCCAGCAUCUGCGCGAGGCGCUCGCGCGGGUGGCUCGGAUCGAGCGGCACGAACGCGCCGCCCGACUUGAGCGCGGCGAUCAGCCCGACGAGCAGAUCGACCGAGCGCGACAGCGCGACGCCCACGCGCAUCUCCGCGCCCACGCCCGCCGCGACGAGGCGCUUCGCGAGCCGCGUCGCGCGCGCGUCGACCUCGCCGCGCGUGAGCGCGCGCUCGAUGUCGGCGACGCCGCGCGCGUCGGGGCGGCGGCGCGCGUGCUGCGCAAUCCGGUCAUGGACCGGGACGAACGGCUCGCCGCCGGCUUGGCCGGCGCGUUCGCGGGGCACCGCCGCGCCGGCGCCGGCGCGCGCCGGCGACGCGCGCCCGGUGAAGUCGUGCGUCUGCCCGUUCCACGCGGCGAGCUGGCGGCGCUCCGCUUCGGGCAGCCAUUGCAGAUCGCCGAUCGCCGCGCCGGGCGUGUCGAGCGCGUGCGCGAGCAGCUCGACGUAGCGCGCGGCGAAGCGCUCGAUCGCGUCGGCGUCGAACAGAUCGGUCGCAUAGACGAAGCGCGCGUCGAGCCCGCCGUCGUCGCGCUCGUCGAAGCUGAGCGCGAGA